AGUCAGCCCAGUGGUGUUUCUGGAGAGGGAUUCCUUCAGAAAUGGAGAAGACAGAAAGCUGCGUAGGCAAAUAUAUGCAGCAGUAAGUCUGUGAUAGUUUGUCCCUUUUAUCAAACAUUCCUGCUGUUAUAAUUUGUACAGCAUUUGUUGUUUCUUAAACUGUUGCACUGUCCAAAUACCCACACUUGCCAUCUUUGCACUUGACCACUUGAUUACUUAUUUGAAGUCUUUCCUGUAUUUGGCCUAGUGUUCGAGUGAGCAUGAUAACCACAAGUGUGUGUCGAACUUUUCAUGACCUGAUGACUGUGUUUCCCAAUCCUGAUCCUGGAGAACCCCAGCACUGCACGGUUUUGGUGUCUCUCUUAUCUGCCUUGGAGUCUUCACUGAUGAGCUGAUGAGUUGAAUCAGGUCUAAAAUAUCAAGCUCAACAACUCACUCAAGAGCCAACCCUCACAAACCUUCCUAAAAACUAAAAGAGCUAUUACUGAGUCUCAGCGAAUCUUGCCAUGAUCAGCUCUUCCCAGAAGAGAAGGAAGACCAAGGAAAUGAUUUGCUCAGGAUGAGGAAUGAAGAUGGCCAUCUUGUGCUCAAACAAACAGAAGUCCUCUGAUGAUCUCAUCAGCCAAAUGAGGGGUUUUGACCAAGUGAUGCUCUUGAAAGGAGUGAAAGAAGAGGAUGUGCUAAAUUCUCUUCAGAGAAAAAGCUUCUCAAAAGGUCUUAAAACAGCUUGAAGAAUGGUCUGGGAUCUUAGGACUGAGAGAUCAUCUGGCUGAGAACAAGCUACACCUCAUCAGUGCUGGAUAUCAACCACAAACUGUUUCCAGACACGAGAGAAGAAGAACACGAUGGGGAGAUGAAACCAGUUUAGAUGUGAUGAUGGGAAUCAUUAUUUUCUGGAACAGUAUCUCAUGUCUUAUAUAUAUAUCACAUGAUCUGUAUCACAGUUGACUGGAUGGGACUGUGACUUUUAAGGACAUUUCAUCACUCAUCUGUGUGAACUGAUUUAUAUAUGAGGUUAAUGUAUUUUUGAUGAUAAUUAUUUUCAUUGAAUCGUAUUCGUCUUGAUGCUACUUUAUCAACUUUAUAGUCUAUGCUUCAAUAAAAUGAAAA
Carassius gibelio (silver crucian carp) is the source of this 1110-nucleotide long non-coding RNA. RefSeq lists it as uncharacterized. The transcript is spliced from 5 exons. The record is from RefSeq and is a predicted model, not a curated record. NCBI's taxonomy places the organism in Eukaryota, Metazoa, Chordata, Actinopteri, Cypriniformes, Cyprinidae.